AUCUUCCUCCCUGCGCUCGUCCUGGCAGCCGCGCCCUGCUCGCCCUCCAGCGUCGUGCCCUGCUCCCUGGUGCCACGAGCUCACCGGCGUUCCUCCCGCUCCCUGCUCGCCGGUGCUCCUCCCUGCGCGCAGCCGAGCUCGCCCUCCGGCCAACUUCGCCGGUCGAGUUCCUCUGCCCUCUCCCACGGCCGCCGUCGAUUCUCCCUGGCCGGCACGCGGACCGCGACACUGCUCCUGUUUGCCAUGGCUGCCGCGCCCUCCCAGCCGUGGAGCUUCCGCGUGCGCGAGCUUCUCUGUUGGCCAUCGCUGCUCCCUGGCAGGCUCGCCCGUCCGCGCUCUGCCCAAUCCCCAGCUCGGCCGCCCAUUUCCCCGAGCUCGCCCCUGCGCUCGGAUUUUCCCUCUCGG
Molecule: unclassified non-coding RNA, 405 nt
Filed under: Zea mays
Lineage: Eukaryota; Viridiplantae; Streptophyta; Magnoliopsida; Poales; Poaceae
Description: misc RNA Zm00001eb379980
Source: RNAcentral